This 253-nucleotide ribosomal RNA is filed under the name uncultured bacterium. RNAcentral's name for it is "partial 16S ribosomal RNA". It matches the Rfam family "Bacterial small subunit ribosomal RNA", at positions 524 to 776 of the family's 1533-position model. The record is from RNAcentral.
UACGUAGGGUGCAAGCGUUGUCCGGAAUUAUUGGGCGUAAAGAGCUCGUAGGCGGUUUGUUGCGUCGGCUGUGAAAUCCCGAGGCUCAACCUCGGGUCUGCAGUCGAUACGAGCAAACUAGAGUGUUGCAGGGGAGAUCGGAAUUCCUGGUGUAGCGGUGAAAUGCGCAGAUAUCAGGAGGAACACCGGUGGCGAAGGCGGAUCUCUGGGCCUUACCUGACGCUGAGGCGCGAAAGCUAGGGGAGCAAACAGG